GAUGAACGCUGGCGGCGUGCCUAAUACAUGCAAGUCGAGCGAACAGAUGAGGAGCUUGCUCCUCUGACGUUAGCGGCGGACGGGUGAGUAACAUGUGGAUAACCUACCUAUAAGACUGGGAUAACUUCGGGAAACCGGAGCUAAUACCGGAUAAUAUAUUGAACCGCAUGGUUCAAUAGUGAAAGACGGUUUUGCUAUCACUUAUAGAUGGAUCCGCGCCGCAUUAGCUAGUUGGUAAGGUACCGGCUUACCAAGGCAACGAUGCGUAGCCGACCUGAGAGGGUGAUAGGCCACACUGGAACUGAGACACGGUCCAGACUACUACGGGAGGCAGCAGUAGGGAAUCUUCCGCAAUGGGCGAAAGCCUUACGGAGCAACGCCGCGUGAGUGAUGAAGGUCUUCGGAUCGUAAAACUCUGUUAUGAGGGAAGAACAAAUGUGUAAGUAACUAUGCACGUCUUGACGGUACCUAAUCAGGAAGCAACGGCUAACUACGUG
This 497-nucleotide ribosomal RNA is filed under the name uncultured bacterium. RNAcentral describes it as "partial 16S ribosomal RNA". It matches the Rfam family "Bacterial small subunit ribosomal RNA", at positions 28 to 507 of the family's 1533-position model. The record is from RNAcentral.